AUGGCACCCCCACUCCCUUUGGCAGCAUCUACUAAUUCGGAACUUAAUUUGAAAGCCAUAUUUCGACCCGGACACUUUUGGGAUGCUUCUAAUAACCAACGAAUGGCAAGUGCUCUUCCUUGUUUAGAUCCUAUUUCAAUCGGAACUUUCCGCGUCGAUCCUUUUUUUUACGUCUUGUUUUUACUCCUAUAUUGGGAGUUACUCUAUGUAUUGCUUGACGUAAAACCAAUAGUGGAUUUUUUUCUAUCUUUUGUUGAAUCUUUUUCACGGUUCGAUACAGAAUUUGAUAAGCCAAUGAUUUUUUUCCGUCUUUCAUAA
This 318-nucleotide ribosomal RNA is filed under the name Triticum aestivum (bread wheat). Its description in RNAcentral is "partial small subunit ribosomal RNA". Lineage: Eukaryota; Viridiplantae; Streptophyta; Magnoliopsida; Poales; Poaceae. The record is from RNAcentral.